This is a long non-coding RNA of Zophobas morio, 403 nucleotides long. RefSeq lists it as uncharacterized. The record is from RefSeq and is a predicted model, not a curated record. NCBI's taxonomy places the organism in Eukaryota, Metazoa, Arthropoda, Insecta, Coleoptera, Tenebrionidae. The transcript is spliced from 3 exons.
AUCUCGAUGGGGCAUCAGUAAUAAUAAUAACCAUUCGUAAUAUUCAGAAGUAAAAAUUUGGAGCGUGAUAUUAAUUAUAUGAUAAGCUAAAGGCUGGUCUUGUGAAGAUAACAACCCAAUUUCAACUAAUUUACAUGUCACAGCAUAACUGUCAUCUUUUAUGAAACUGGAACGUAAUACUAACACUUGGAUCUUUGCAAAUUAAAGAUUGGAAUUAUAUUUCGGAAAUAGAUUCCAUUUCCUGGAAAUGGCUAACCCUAAUCGAAGGGAUUCCUUGGUUCCUUUGCACCUAUCUCCUAGUCGAAUGGCUAAGUGAAAUACUUACUAUCUUUAUCUUUGCCUAUAUUAUAACGGACCUCCCUUUUUUAGGAUUUAUAAUAUAUUGUAUAAUAUACCUAUACAG